UACGGGGGGGGGCAAGCGUUGUUCGGAAUUACUGGGCGUAAAGGGCUCGUAGGCGGCCAACUAAGUCGGAUGUGAAAUCCCCCAGGCUCAACUUGGGAACUGCAUCCGAUACUGGAUGGCUUGAAUUCGGGAGAGGGAUGCAGAAUUCCAGGUGUAGCGGUGAAAUGCGUAGAUAUCUGGAGGAAUACCGGUGGCGAAGGCGGCAUCCUGGACCGACAUUGACGCUGAGGAGCGAAAAGCUAGGGGAGCCAAACGGG
RNAcentral lists this ribosomal RNA (257 nucleotides) under uncultured bacterium. RNAcentral describes it as "partial 16S ribosomal RNA". It matches the Rfam family "Bacterial small subunit ribosomal RNA", at positions 524 to 777 of the family's 1533-position model. The record is from RNAcentral.